UUCAAAUCCAUCUGAUGUUUAAAUUAUAAUAUCAGUUAAUAAUAUGGAGUUUAUCCGUACAUGAUUGAUGGGUGUCGAAUCCACCAACAUAAACCUACGCCUAAUUUGCGAUUUCAGUAGUAUAGGGAGUAGGGUCGAUCCCUCAGAGACUGGGUUUACUGUAAAUUGUUGCUCUCUUGACCAGAUUUAUGUCGGGGCAGCUGUCGCGCCCAAGAAAUUCGGGGGGAUGAAAUUUGAAGACCUGAAAUAAACAGAAAAAUAACGUAAAAAGUAAAAGUUAAAAACAGAAUAAUAAAAACAGUGAAAUAAAUAUGAAGAAAAAUUAAUUAGAAUAAGCUCAGCCUUAGGCACGGAUUUUUCCUCGUCUUUGAACCGAUCCUCGAAAUUAGAUGAACUCUUCUUUUCCAAUAAGCUAGUUAUAGCUACCAAGGACGCCUCGGACACCAACUCUUCCUUGUGUAAAUUAGUUAUGGAACGUCCAAUAACUAACCCUUACCGAUCGAACAACCACGAAACGUUUGUGAUUUAGAACUCCGGCAGCUUUGCGUUCUAGAAGAGCCUAGCUCGAACCAAUACCCUCAACCGUGUGGGAUAUUUAAAUCCGGUUACUACUUCCCUUGACGGAACCAAACAACAAUCUCCACUUGGCACGCCAAUGUGUUCACAGAAAACCGAUUAGAAACGUUCCUUUCGGAAUUCCAACUGUACGUCUAACCACACUAAAUCAAACGACAUCUUUUUUGACUUAAUGUUGAUUUGACUCUGUGAGCUGACAAAAUCAUACUCUUAAUCCGGAGAAGUAAUAAGUACUGGAAUUUUAGGAGUUGAAUUGCUCGGGUUCGUAACUCACGAGUUAUGACGAGGCUAAUUCCGGCAUAAAGCUGAAAAUGGGUUUAGUUAACUAAGGUUUGGGACAUGAUGGUAUUGGGCAUAAUUGGAUAAGGUAAAAAUGGGUGGAAGGAUUGGUGACGUGAUUGAGUAUAGGGGUUGGAAAAAUAUAUUAAAGUGGGGUGGUUGACUAUUGGAAAAUGAAAAGGGAAUUUUGAAAAAGGAAUUGCAAAUGGCUAAAGUUGGUGGCUGCUAGGAUUUAACAAAUUGAAGGAAAAGAAACUAAAGAAACAACAAAUGAAAUCGUGACAAGAAGAGAGAAAAUAUAUUGAAAGAUGAAAG
This 1170-nucleotide long non-coding RNA is filed under the name Gossypium raimondii (Peruvian cotton). RNAcentral's name for it is "long non-coding RNA (GRAI_LNC005022)". The record is from RNAcentral. Lineage: Eukaryota; Viridiplantae; Streptophyta; Magnoliopsida; Malvales; Malvaceae.